UCCGAAUGGGGAAACCCACUGCUUCGGCAGUAUCCUGCAGUGAAUUCAUAGCUGCUGGAAGCGAACCCGGUGAACUGAAAUAUCUAAGUAACCGGAGGAAAAGAAAUCAACCGAGAUUCCCUAAGUAGUGACGAGCGAACGGGGAACAGCCCUUAAGCUGGAAUGGCUUUAGAAAAACAAUCUGGAAAGAUUGGCCAUAGAAGGUGAUAGCCCUGUACUUAAAAGGGCCACUCCAGUGAAGACGAGUAGGGCGGGGCACGUGAAACCCUGUCUGAAUAUGGGGGGACCAUCCUCCAAGGCUAAAUACUCCUGACCGACCGAUAGUGAACCAGUACCGUGAGGGAAAGGCGAAAAGAACCCCGGAGAGGGGAGUGAAAUAGAUCCUGAAACCGUGUGCGUACAAGCAGUAGGAGCUCGCAAGAGUGACUGCGUACCUUUUGUAUAAUGGGUCAGCGACUUACUGUUCGUGGCAAGCUUAACCGUAUAGGGGAGGCGAAGGGAAACCGAGUCUGAUAAGGGCGCAUAGUCGCGGGCAGUAGACCCGAAACCGGGUGAUCUAGUCAUGGCCAGGGUGAAGGUGCCGUAACAGGUACUGGAGGCCCGAACCCACGUCUGUUGCAAAAGACGGGGAUGAGCUGUGAUUAGGAGUGAAAAGCUAAUCGAACCCGGAGAUAGCUGGUUCUCCUCGAAAGCUAUUUAGGUAGCGCCUCGGACGAAUACUACUGGGGGUAGAGCACUGUUAUGGCUAGGGGGUCAUCGCGACUUACCAAACCAUUGCAAACUCCGAAUACCAGUACGUACUAUCCGGGAGACACACGGCGGGUGCUAACGUCCGUCGUGAAAAGGGAAACAACCCAGACCCACAGCUAAGGUCCCAAAUUCACUGCUAAGUGGAAAACGAUGUGGAAAGGCAUAGACAGCCAGGAGGUUGGCUUAGAAGCAGCCACCCUUUAAAGAAAGCGUAAUAGCUCACUGGUCGAGUCGGUCUGCGCGGAAGAUUUAACGGGGCUAAGCAGUGAACCGAAGCUUGGGGUGCGUAAAACUUCGGUUUUAUGCGCGGUAGAGGAGCGUUCCGUAAGCCUGCGAAGGUGGAUUGAGAAGUCCGCUGGAGGUAUCGGAAGUGCGAAUGCUGACAUGAGUAACGAUAAUGCGGGUGAAAAGCCCGCACGCCGAAAGCCCAAGGUUUCCUUGCGCAACGUUAAUCGACGCAGGGUUAGUCGGUCCCUAAGGCGAGGGCGAAAGCCGUAGUCGAUGGGAAGCAGGUUAAUAUUCCUGCACCUCGCGUGAGUGCGAUGGAGGGACGGAGAAGGUUAGGUGUACCGGGCGUUGGUUGUCCCGGGGAAAGGCGGUAGGUUUGGAUCUUUGGCAAAUCCGGGAUCCUUUAAGACCGAGCACCGAGACGAGCCUUUAUGGCGAAGUCACUGAUACCACGCUUCCAGGAAAAGCUCCUAAGCUUCAGCUCACGAAGACCGUACCGUAAACCGACACAGGUGGGUAGGAUGAGAAUUCUCAGGCGCUUGAGAGAACUCGGGUGAAGGAACUAGGCAACAUGGCACCGUAACUUCGGGAGAAGGUGCACCCUUUUUGGUGGCUCAUGCGAGCUAUAGCUGAAGAGGGUCGCAGAAACCAGGCCGCUGCGACUGUUUAUCAAAAACACAGCACUCUGCAAACACGAAAGUGGACGUAUAGGGUGUGACGCCUGCCCGGUGCUGGAAGGUUAAUUGAUGGGGUCAGCCGCAAGGCAAAGCUCUUGAUCGAAGCCCCAGUAAACGGCGGCCGUAACUAUAACGGUCCUAAGGUAGCGAAAUUCCUUGUCGGGUAAGUUCCGACCUGCACGAAUGGCGUAACGACAGCGGCGCUGUCUCCACCCGAGACUCAGUGAAAUUGAAAUCGCUGUGAAGAUGCAGCGUUCCCGUGGCAAGACGGAAAGACCCCGUGAACCUUUACUAUAGCUUUACACUGAACGUUGAGUUCGUCUGUGUAGGAUAGGUGGGAGGCUAUGAAACUGUGGCGCUAGCUGCAGUGGAGCCAUCCUUGAAAUACCACCCUGUCGUGCUUGACGUUCUAACCUAGAUCCGUUAUCCGGAUCAGGGACCGUGUAUGGUGGGUAGUUUGACUGGGGCGGUCUCCUCCUAAAGAGUAACGGAGGAGCACGAAGGUACGCUCAGCGCGGUCGGACAUCGCGCACUGUGUGCAAAGGCAUAAGCGUGCUUGACUGCAAGAUCGACGGAUCAAGCAGGUACGAAAGUAGGUCUUAGUGAUCCGGUGGUUCUGUAUGGAAGGGCCAUCGCUCAACGGAUAAAAGGUACUCCGGGGAUAACAGGCUGAUACCGCCCAAGAGUUCAUAUCGACGGCGGUGUUUGGCACCUCGAUGUCGGCUCAUCACAUCCUGGGGCUGUAGUCGGUCCCAAGGGUAUGGCUGUUCGCCAUUUAAAGUGGUACGCGAGCUGGGUUCAGAACGUCGUGAGACAGUUCGGUCCCUAUCUGCCAUGGGCGUUGGAAGUUUGAGAGGGGCUGCUCCUAGUACGAGAGGACCGGAGUGGACGAACCUCUGGUGUUCCGGUUGUCACGCCAGUGGCAUUGCCGGGUAGCUAUGUUCGGAAGCGAUAACCGCUGAAAGCAUCUAAGCGGGAAGCGCGCCUCAAGAUGAGACUUCCCGGGGCACAAGCCCCCUAAAGGAACCAUAUAGACUAUGUGGUUGAUAGGUCAGGUGUGU
RNAcentral lists this ribosomal RNA (2716 nucleotides) under Xanthomonas hortorum pv. cynarae. RNAcentral's name for it is "partial 23S ribosomal RNA". It matches the Rfam family "Bacterial large subunit ribosomal RNA". Lineage: Bacteria; Pseudomonadati; Pseudomonadota; Gammaproteobacteria; Lysobacterales; Lysobacteraceae. The record is from RNAcentral.